UACGGAAGGUCCGGGCGUUAUCCGGAUUUAUUGGGUGUAAAGGGUGCGUAGACGGGAAAUUAAGUUAGUUGUGAAAUCCCUCGGCUUAACUGAGGAACUGCAACUAAAACUGAUUUUCUUGAGUACUGGAGAGGAAAGUGGAAUUCCUAGUGUAGCGGUGAAAUGCGUAGAUAUUAGGAGGAACACCAGUGGCGAAGGCGACUUUCUGGACAGUAACUGACGUUGAGGCACGAAAGUGUGGGGAGCAAACAGG
Molecule: ribosomal RNA, 253 nt
Filed under: uncultured Eubacteriales bacterium
Lineage: Bacteria; Bacillati; Bacillota; Clostridia; Eubacteriales
Description: uncultured Clostridiales bacterium partial 16S ribosomal RNA
Rfam family: Bacterial small subunit ribosomal RNA
Source: RNAcentral